Molecule: ribosomal RNA, 819 nt
Filed under: uncultured eukaryote
Lineage: Eukaryota
Description: SSU rRNA
Rfam family: Eukaryotic small subunit ribosomal RNA
Source: RNAcentral
CGGUGUUUAACUGGCGUGAUGUGGGACGUCCUACCGGUGGGCUUAGCCUCGCGAGGGGCGGCCCAACUAAUAUCCCGUCGCGGUGCUCUUUACUGAGUGUCGAGUCGGGCCGGUACGUUUACUUUGAACAAAUUAGAGUGCUUAAAGCAGGCUAUCCUCGCCUGAAUACUGCGUGCAUGGAAUAAUGGAAUAGGACCUCGGUUCUAUUUUGUUGGUUUUCGGAACCCCGAGGUAAUGAUUAAUAGGGACAGAUGGGGGCAUUCGUAUUGCGACGUUAGAGGUGAAAUUCUUGGAUCGUCGCAAGACGGACAGAAGCGAAAGCAUUUGCCAAAAAUGUUUUCAUUAAUCAAGAACGAAAGUUAGAGGUUCGAAGGCGAUCAGAUACCGCCCUAGUUCUAACCAUAAACGAUGCCAGCUAGCGAUCCGCCGAAGUUCCUCCGAUGACUCGGCGGGCAGCUUCCGGGAAACCAAAGCUUUUGGGUUCCGGGGGAAGUAUGGUUGCAAAGCUGAAACUUAAAGGAAUUGACGGAAGGGCACCACCAGGAGUGGAGCCUGCGGCUUAAUUUGACUCAACACGGGAAACCUCACCAGGCCCAGACACCGGAAGGAUUGACAGAUUGAUAGCUCUUUCUUGAUUCGGUGGGUGGUGGUGCAUGGCCGUUCUUAGUUGGUGGAGCGAUUUGUCUGGUUAAUUCCGAUAACGAACGAGACUCUAGCCUGCUAAAUAGGCGUACCUUAUGGUAUCGCGAAGGCCCCCGGCUUCGGCCGGUGGGUUUCUACUACCAACGUACAAACAAAUCUUCUUAGAGGGACAGGCGG